This 244-nucleotide long non-coding RNA is filed under the name Mytilus galloprovincialis (Mediterranean mussel). Lineage: Eukaryota; Metazoa; Mollusca; Bivalvia; Mytilida; Mytilidae. The record is from RNAcentral.
GUAAAAAUAAUGUUAUUAUAAUAAUGAAAGACCAUGACAUACAAAUACAUCGAUCUGAUACCAGAAUAUCAAUCCCCUUCCCAUAUUCACCCAGAUUUAUUUUAGCUUUACCAAGCUAAGCAAGAGUUGUAUCCCUUGUUCUGUCAAACUUCCGGUUUUCGUUUGAGUCGAACUACGUGUAUCUCGAAAUAUUUCUCUGGUCCGGCUGAUUUCGAGAUAACGAGAGUCAACUGUAUUGUCAAAA